AUUGAACGCUGGCGGCAGGCCUAACACAUGCAAGUCGAACGAGUGGCGGACGGGUGAGUAAUGUCUGGGGAACUGCCUGAUGGAGGGGGAUAACUACUGGAAACGGUAGCUAAUACCGCAUACCAUCGGAUGUGCCCAGAUGGGAUUGGCUAGUAGGUGGGGUAAAGGCUCACCUAGGCGACGAUCCCUAGCUGGUCUGAGAGGAUGACCAGCCACACUGGAACUGAGAAAAGGUCCAGACUCCUAUGGGAGUCAGUAGUGGGGAAUAGUGCACAAUGGGCGAAAGUCUGAUGCAGCGAUGCCGCGUGUAGGAAGAAGUCCUUCGGUUUGUAAAGUACUUUCAGCGGGGAGGCGUUACCCUCAGAAGAAGCACCGGCUAAUUCCGUGCCAGCAGCCGCGGUAAUAC
Molecule: ribosomal RNA, 406 nt
Filed under: uncultured bacterium
Lineage: Bacteria
Description: partial 16S ribosomal RNA
Rfam family: Bacterial small subunit ribosomal RNA
Source: RNAcentral